This 484-nucleotide ribosomal RNA is filed under the name uncultured bacterium. RNAcentral's name for it is "partial 16S ribosomal RNA". It matches the Rfam family "Bacterial small subunit ribosomal RNA", at positions 30 to 507 of the family's 1533-position model. The record is from RNAcentral.
AUUGAACGCUGGCGGCAGGCCUAACACAUGCAAGUCGAGCGGAUGAAGGGAGCUUGCUCCUGGAUUCAGCGUCGGACGGGUGAGUAAUGCCUAGGAAUCUGCCUGGUAGUGGGGGAUGACGUCCGGAAACGGGCGCUAAUACCGCAUACGUCCUGAUGGAGAAAGUGGGGGAUCUUCGGACCUCACGCUAUCAGAUGAGCCUAGGUCGGAUUAGCUAGUUGGUGGGGUAAAGGCCUACCAAGGCGACGAUCCGUAACUGGUCUGAGAGGAUGAUCAGUCACACUGGAACUGAGACACGGUCCAGAGUCCUACGGGAGGCAGCAGUGGGGAAUAUUGGACAAUGGGCGAAAGCCUGAUCCAGCCAUGCCGAGUGUGUGACGAAGGUCUCCGGAUCGUAAAGCACUUUAAGUUGGUAGGAAGCGCAGUCAGUUAAUACCUUGCUGUUUUGACGUUACUAACAGAAUAAGCACCGGCUAACUUCGUG